This 612-nucleotide ribosomal RNA is filed under the name Euhadra peliomphala. RNAcentral describes it as "partial 12S ribosomal RNA". The record is from RNAcentral. Lineage: Eukaryota; Metazoa; Mollusca; Gastropoda; Stylommatophora; Camaenidae.
GUACAUAAUUUUAGAUGUGUUCAUUUUUUAUUCUUAAUGAAAUAUUACAUUUAAGUCCUUCUUUGUACGCUUUUUCAAAGCGGCCUCUGCUUAUUUUAACGUAACUCGCCUAAUCUUCUAGAUAGUCUGCACCUUGAUCUGUAAUAAUAGUUAUUUCACUUUAUGAUAAUAUAUUAUAUAUUAUCUGCUGACGACGGCAUACAAAAUAUUACAUGAAGUAGAUUACCUUGGUGGUUAUCAAUUACUUGGUAAGUUCCCCUAAAUUUUAAAAUUACCGCCAUGCUAUUUGAGUUUUGACCAACAAGGUUUUAGUACUCAGUGUUUUAUAUGUUGGUAUUGUAUAAAAGGGUAUCUAAUCCUUGUUUAUGAUCAAUAUUUUAUAUAUUCGGUUUGAUAAGAGUGUAAAAAUAUUAUUUCACCAAUAUUUUUAUAUUAAACUAAUUACACUUUAUUUGUUCAUUACUAUUGAAGUCUGACCGCGACUGCUGGCACUUUUUUAGUCAUAGUAUAUAUAAUUGGUUUAGUCUUACUCUCGUAAAUUUAUAAAUUCUCUUGCCUGGUUGGAUCUUUAUAGUACCAUGAGCAUCCUAUUUUACAUGAACGGUUCACCAU